Molecule: ribosomal RNA, 497 nt
Filed under: uncultured bacterium
Lineage: Bacteria
Description: partial 16S ribosomal RNA
Rfam family: Bacterial small subunit ribosomal RNA
Source: RNAcentral
GAUGAACGCUGGCGGCGUGCCUAAUACAUGCCAGUCGAGCGAACAGACGAGGAGCUUGCUCCUCUGACGUUAGCGGCGGACGGGUGAGUAACACGUGGAUAACCUACCUAUAAUACUGGGAUAACUUCGGGAAACCGGAGCUAAUACCGGAUAAUAUAUUGAACCGCAUGGUUCAAUAGUGAAAGACGGUUUUGCUGUCACUUAUAGAUGGAUCCGCGCCGCAUUAGCUAGUUGGUAAGGUAACGGCUUACCAAGGCAACGAUGCGUAGCCGACCUGAGAGGGUGAUCGGCAACACCGGAACUGAGACACGGUCCAGACUCCUACGGGAGGCAGCAGUAGGGAAUCUUCCGCAAUGGGCGAAAGCUUGACGGAGCAACGCCGCGUGAGUGAUGAAGGUCUUCGGAUCGUAAAACUCUGUUAUUAGGGAAGAAAAAAUGUGUAAGUAACUAUGCACGUCUUGACGGUACCUAAUGAGAAAGCCACGGCUAACUACGUG